This 460-nucleotide ribosomal RNA is filed under the name uncultured bacterium. Its description in RNAcentral is "partial 16S ribosomal RNA". It matches the Rfam family "Bacterial small subunit ribosomal RNA", at positions 338 to 795 of the family's 1533-position model. The record is from RNAcentral.
CCUACGGGUGGCAGCAGUGAGGAAUAUUGGUCAAUGGACGAGAGUCUGAACCAGCCAAGUAGCGUGAAGGAUGACUGCCCUAUGGGUUGUAAACUUCUUUUAUAUGGGAAUAAAAUGUUCCACGUGUGGGAUUUUGUAUGUACCAUAUGAAUAAGGAUCGGCUAACUCCGUGCCAGCAGCCGCGGUAAUACGGAGGAUCCGAGCGUUAUCCGGAUUUAUUGGGUUUAAAGGGAGCGUAGGUGGAUUGUUAAGUCAGUUGUGAAAGUUUGCGGCUCAACCGUAAAAUUGCAGUUGAAACUGGCAGUCUUGAGUACAGUAGAGGUGGGCAGAAUUCGUGGUGUAGCGGUGAAAUGCUUAGAUAUCACGAAGAACUCCGAUAGCGAAGGCAGUUCACUGGACUGCAACUGACACUGAGGCUCGAAAGUGUGGGUAUCAAACAGGAUUAGAUACCCGAGUAGUC